UACGGAGGAUGCAAGCGUUGUUCGGAAUCACUGGGCUUAAAGCGCGUGUAGGUGGAAUGAAAGGCGCCUUGGUGAAAUCCCCCGGCUCAACCGGGGAACUGCCGGGCGAACCAUCAUUCUUGAGGCAGGUAGAGGUGGCCGGAACGACAGGUGGAGCGGUGAAAUGCGUAGAUAUCUGUUGGAACGCCGGCGGCGAAAGCGGGCCACUGGGCCUGUCCUGACACUGAGACGCGAAAGCGUGGGGAGCAAA
RNAcentral lists this ribosomal RNA (250 nucleotides) under uncultured bacterium. Its description in RNAcentral is "partial 16S ribosomal RNA". It matches the Rfam family "Bacterial small subunit ribosomal RNA", at positions 524 to 772 of the family's 1533-position model. The record is from RNAcentral.